Molecule: ribosomal RNA, 416 nt
Filed under: Klebsiella pneumoniae
Lineage: Bacteria; Pseudomonadati; Pseudomonadota; Gammaproteobacteria; Enterobacterales; Enterobacteriaceae
Description: partial 23S ribosomal RNA
Rfam family: Bacterial large subunit ribosomal RNA
Source: RNAcentral
ACCGGGGUUGCGGACAGUGUCUGGUGGGUAGUUUGACUGGGGCGGUCUCCUCCCAAAGCGUAACGGAGGAGCACGAAGGUUAGCUAAUCCUGGUCGGACAUCAGGAGGUUAGUGCAAUGGCAUAAGCUAGCUUGACUGCGAGCGUGACGGCGCGAGCAGGUGCGAAAGCAGGUCAUAGUGAUCCGGUGGUUCUGAAUGGAAGGGCCAUCGCUCAACGGAUAAAAGGUACUCCGGGGAUAACAGGCUGAUACCGCCCAAGAGUUCAUAUCGACGGCGGUGUUUGGCACCUCGAUGUCGGCUCAUCACAUCCUGGGGCUGAAGUAGGUCCCAAGGGUAUGGCUGUUCGCCAUUUAAAGUGGUACGCGAGCUGGGUUUAGAACGUCGUGAGACAGUUCGGUCCCUAUCUGCCGUGGGCG